Molecule: RNase P RNA, 320 nt
Filed under: Candidatus Kaiserbacteria bacterium
Lineage: Bacteria; Candidatus Kaiseribacteriota
Description: RNase P RNA component class A
Rfam family: Bacterial RNase P class A
About the family: Ribonuclease P (RNase P) is a ubiquitous endoribonuclease, found in archaea, bacteria and eukarya as well as chloroplasts and mitochondria. Its best characterised activity is the generation of mature 5'-ends of tRNAs by cleaving the 5'-leader elements of precursor-tRNAs.
Source: RNAcentral
UGCGUUAGGCAGUUGCUCCUGCGAAAACAGGGGAGGAAAGUCCGGACACGCACAUCGAAAGAUGUAGCACGGUAGCGGGUAACGCCCGUCGAGCGAGAGCUUAGGGAUGCGAACAGAAACGCCGAUGCCGAGAGGCUAGGGUUCCGAAAGGAAUGGUUCUGCAGAAAUGUAGAAAUGAAAUGGCAAAAUUCCUACCUGCGUGCAAGGCCGCGUUCGUCGGCGACCAAUUGGAGCUGACGAAAGAGCCGCUUGAGUCCAAGAGUAAUCGAGGAUCUAGAUAAAUGACUGCCCUCGACAGAAUCCGGCUUACUGCGCAGCAA